RNAcentral lists this ribosomal RNA (86 nucleotides) under Priestia aryabhattai. Its description in RNAcentral is "Bacillus aryabhattai partial 16S ribosomal RNA". It matches the Rfam family "Bacterial small subunit ribosomal RNA", at positions 1 to 84 of the family's 1533-position model. Lineage: Bacteria; Bacillati; Bacillota; Bacilli; Caryophanales; Bacillaceae. The record is from RNAcentral.
AUUUCUUCGGAGAGUUUGAUCCUGGCUCAGGAUGAACGCUGGCGGCGUGCCUAAUACAUGCAAGUCGAGCGAACUGAUUAGAAGCU